This 396-nucleotide unclassified non-coding RNA is filed under the name soil metagenome. RNAcentral's name for it is "partial contains 5.8S ribosomal RNA, internal transcribed spacer 2, and large subunit ribosomal RNA". The stretch from base 1 to 122 matches the Rfam family "5.8S ribosomal RNA", at positions 35 to 154 of the family's 154-position model. The record is from RNAcentral.
GAUGAAGAACGUAGCGAAAUGCGAUACUUGGUGUGAAUUGCAGAAUCCCGUGAACCAUCGAGUCUUUGAACGCAAGUUGCGCCCGAAGCCAUUAGGCCGAGGGCACGCCUGCCUGGGUGUCACACAUCGUUACCCCAACGCAAACAUGUAACAAUGUUGCUGCGCGGGGUGUAUGCUGACCUCCCGCGAGCACCCGCCUCGUGGUUGGUUGAAAUCUGGGUUCAUGGCCGACUUCGCCGUGAUAAAAUGGUGGAUGAGCCACGCUCGAGACCAAUCACGUGCGAGCCGGUCAGUUCUGGACCCAUCGACGACCCUUUGCGUGCACGCACGCUCCCAACGAGACCUCAGGUCAGGCGGGGCUACCCGCUGAGUUUAAGCAUAUCAUUAAGCGGAGGA